AUAUGUUCAAUAUUACCUAGGCCUGUAGAAUGCAGUUCUCUACCGUGGCUUUGUCAUGGGGUAUGUAAGAAAUAAUAAGUCUGACUGAAGGCAAAAGUACCUCAGAAGUAUGAUCUCAGAUCGAAUAUUGUAUUUAGAUGGUCUCCAAAUUUCAAAGAGGAAGAUGACUAUAGAAAAACUGCAAAUACUUUUCACGGCAAGAGUAUCGUUUUCUCCAAUCUCGUUAAUUUUGGAGUAUAGGCAUGGGUUUCUCUGUUUAUUAUACCAAGAAUUUUAUUUUAGGACUCUAACCAGCAGAAAUUAAAAUUAACCCCAGAAAACCAAAUCAAAUACUAGCAACUUUAGGGUUUAAAUACUACCCCCUUACUUGAAAGAAUGAAAAAGAAAAAAGAAAAAAAUACACACGCAUACAUAAAACUGAUAGAUCUGAAUGUACAAAACUAUACAUGCGCAACAACAGUAUAUUCAAUUCGAAACUCUAACUACAAACCCAUAAAUUCAAAACUCUAGCUACAAAAACAUACGCACAUAAAUCAUCAUCAUUCAAGAAAUUCGAAAAAUACCAGAAAAAUAUUGAAAAUCGAGAAACUGAGGUCUAGAUCUGGAUUUGCUUACCUUUGAUCAUACAACCAUGAAGCAAGUUGAAGAGAUCAAGACACCGAGUUCAGAGCUCCUUCAGAGAUUCGACACAGUUCUUCUAACCUUUGAAGAUCAAAUUUCAAAGCUUUGAUUCUCGGCUCCUCUAAGAGAGGUUUGUUGCCCACAGAGAGAUUUCAGAGCUUCGAUGUGUUUGAGAGUGCUAUAAGCUUCGAUGUGUUCUGUUUUUGACAAAAAAACAAACAAAAGUAGAAUAUAAAAAGACUUAAAAAGGACUUGGGCAAAUAGAAGAGGGAAAGUGGGGAGGGAACUGAAAACCGUCUCUAUAGCUAAUAUUUUUAAUGAACCGUUGUUGUUGAGGAAUUUAGUGGAACGAUU
Molecule: long non-coding RNA, 975 nt
Filed under: Nicotiana tabacum (common tobacco)
Lineage: Eukaryota; Viridiplantae; Streptophyta; Magnoliopsida; Solanales; Solanaceae
Description: long non-coding RNA (NTAB_LNC010384)
Source: RNAcentral